RNAcentral lists this transfer RNA (74 nucleotides) under Planctomycetaceae bacterium. Its description in RNAcentral is "tRNA-His". It matches the Rfam family "tRNA". From Rfam's summary of the family: Transfer RNA (tRNA) molecules are approximately 80 nucleotides in length. Their secondary structure includes four short double-helical elements and three loops (D, anti-codon, and T loops). Lineage: Bacteria; Pseudomonadati; Planctomycetota; Planctomycetia; Planctomycetales; Planctomycetaceae. The record is from RNAcentral. RNAcentral also lists the same sequence under 1 other name.
GUGGGUAUAGCUCAGCUGGUUAGAGCGCCAGAUUGUGGUUCUGGAUGUCGCGGGUUCGAAUCCCGUUACUCACC